AUAGUAAAUAGAUAUUAGUUUUUGGUGAUUUGUUCAACUAUGAAUUUGUAUUUUGUACCUGCUUUUCAAGAGUGUAGAAAAAUGCAUGCGUCUAUUGAAUUUAAUUUAUAUACCUUAAUGUAAAAACAUUAUGACCACUUUAUCAAUGUCAGAUAUUAUGAUUUUGUGAAAUAAAUUUGCACAGCCUAUUAUCAGGGCAAUAAAAAAAAACUAUAAAAAAUAGGCAGCUAAAUAAAGCAGGUAUCAGUUUUUAAUGUCUUUUAAUUUGGCCAAUAAAAGCAGUUAGUGAGUGUCCAAGAACAAGGAACCUAUCACAACUUGAAAUUGAUCAAAUCAUAUCAGUUAGUGAUAAAAGGAUACAAUUUGUUUAACCUUGUAUAUUUUUCGUAAUCAGAUGGAAAACAUUAAUCAGUUAUAUUGUAAACGGUAAUUUACCCUGAAUUAUCCCAGAAAAUAAGACUGAAAACUGGAAAGCAUGCCUGGUAUCUUGCCUCACUGCUUUAGAUUAAUCCUGUCAGAAUACAAUUCCUGUGGAUUCAUUAUAAUUCCUUGGAUACCAAUUUUUAUUGGAGCCUAGGAUCCACAAAUUCAAAUAUCCAACGAAUCACAUGUUUUGUAUAGGAAUUUGUGCAGACCCACGAAAAUAAAUGAAUCCACAGUAAAUUUUUAUUGCAUUUCAUGAAGAUGUAUUGUGGAAUAGCAUAAAUUGUUGACAUACGCUAGGUAAAUUUUUUUUUAUUGUAAACUACAUAUAAAUUUAUGCAAAAUACUAAUGUAUGAGUCAAAAAUUAGAUAUAGUAACCAAACCUUUUUGAUUUAUAUUUUCAAUCUGGAUAAAAUUACUAAUCAGAACAAUUUAUUUAUUUGAACAUGUACCCUUAUUUUAGACCUGAUAAGUGUUGAAAAGUUGAUCAAACCUUUAAACCAUAUUCUGCUUAUGUUAAGCAGAGAUUUUUCAAGUUUCAAGACUGGACAUUUGUUGAAAGAUAUAUACAUCUUAUUAUCCAACUUGUAUGAAAAUUUAUUGAUUUAAGGGUUAGCUGUGAACAAUUUAUUUAUUUUUGUAUCGCAAUCAGCACUCUUCAGUGGAACAAGUUUCACUGACAUACACUUUGCUUCCAUCAUUUCCAUUCUAUAAAGCUCAAAUAACAUGCAGUUUUUUUUUAAUUACAAUGUAUGAAACAAUUUCCAUAGAAUAAUUUUGUAUGUAAUUGAAUGCAAAGAACAUACAAGAUGCAAAUUUGAUGACAGCCAAUUCAUAUCUGUAUUUUCUUUAUUUAAUCUGUAAAUGAGACUGAAGGUUGUAGAAACAAGAUUUUAAAGUAUAUAUUGAAAACCUUAAAAUAAGUCCCCAAUUGUAUUUUUUUCAGAAUUUAAAAUAUUGUAAAAUUUUGAAUAUUCUGGCUGUAAAUACCAUACUUUGAAAAGUACUUUUAGUCAGUUUUGGCAUUAUUGUUUAUAUUGAUAUACUCACUAGUGAACUUAGGCAGGAUGGCCAGUGUUACAACAUAUACUUUUUGUUUACUUGUAUACUUUAUAUUUGUUUGUUUUAGAUUAACAGCAUUUUCAAGAUUUGAAUUUUUUUGCCAAACAUUGUUUAGUAUGAUUUAUUUGUUGAUUUGUUUUAUUAUUUGAUUGUUUGUUUACUACCAUGUAGGGCAUUGUACUUCUUUAUUUUUAAAAAUAAAAUGUGAAAUGUAAAACCUUUUUAGGUCUAUUAUAUAUUGGCCAUAGAUUGCCUUGUUCCACUGUUUUGGACAUCUUCGCUAGCCAAGGGUUACGAUCCACUUCCCUCC
This 1796-nucleotide long non-coding RNA is filed under the name Mytilus galloprovincialis (Mediterranean mussel). The record is from RNAcentral. Lineage: Eukaryota; Metazoa; Mollusca; Bivalvia; Mytilida; Mytilidae.